GAUUUCUGGUUCGGUGUAGCCGGCCCGCCACGGUUGCCGUCGGUGAGUGCCGGACUGCUUGCCGAGCCAUCCUUCUAGCACUGCCUAUCGCCGGUUGCUUCACUGCAGCCGCGUUAGUUGCAGCUAGAUCGUUUACUUUGAAAAAAUUAGAGUGUUUAAAGCAGGCUCCUGUCAGCUAUGAAUACAUUAGCAUGGAAUAAUAAGUUAGGACUUUGGUUCAAUUUUGUUGGUUUGUUUGCGGACCGAAGUAAUGAUUGAUAGGGAUAGUUGGGGGUGCUAGUAUUCAGUGGCCAGAGGUGAAAUUCUUGGAUUCCCUGAAGACUAACUUAUGCGAAAGCAUU
RNAcentral lists this ribosomal RNA (341 nucleotides) under uncultured Neoheteromita. RNAcentral describes it as "bacterial SSU rRNA". The stretch from base 120 to 341 matches the Rfam family "Eukaryotic small subunit ribosomal RNA", at positions 739 to 955 of the family's 1831-position model. Lineage: Eukaryota; Cercozoa; Glissomonadida; Viridiraptoridae. The record is from RNAcentral.